ACCGCCCACGAGUAUCCACCGACAGUGAAGGUAUCGGAGGCCACGUAUUUGCCUAUCCCCAUCCCUUUGGCCAGAGAGAAUCCGCUGAUUUUGAACUCGUGCGAGCCGUUGAUGGUCUCCGUGCGAGAGGUAGACUCCGAGAGGGUCGAUUUCGAAGAUCCGGGAACCUCCGCGCAAACCCUAAUCGCGUCCAUCGAACAAAUCCGAGACCGCAAAAUUGAAUCUUUCGUCGAUCUUCUUCGUCGGAGUAAGUAUCCUUGCAGGACCCAAGUCUUCG
This 277-nucleotide long non-coding RNA is filed under the name Brassica napus (rape). RNAcentral's name for it is "long non-coding RNA (BNAP_LNC018034)". Lineage: Eukaryota; Viridiplantae; Streptophyta; Magnoliopsida; Brassicales; Brassicaceae. The record is from RNAcentral.